This is a long non-coding RNA of Protopterus annectens (West African lungfish), 265 nucleotides long. RefSeq lists it as uncharacterized. The transcript has 5 exons. The record is from RefSeq and is a predicted model, not a curated record. NCBI's taxonomy places the organism in Eukaryota, Metazoa, Chordata, Ceratodontiformes, Protopteridae.
GGUAGAUAAAAUUUACAAAUCUUGGAAGAGACGAUAGAUUUUAAGGUUAUACAGUCCCUGGGCUUUGGACAUAUGUUUCAGGUAUGUAUAAUUUCAGAAUCUAAGAACUGCCACCAAAUCAUAAGGCUAUAAAAUCAAGAGGCCUUGAUAUACAGUUAGGUACCUGGAGAUGGCUUUUCUUCUAAACGUAUUCAUUCAUUAAAUGACUGCCUCUGGAUUUUCAUCUUAAGGAUUCUUCUCCUGCAUACAUUGACUGCCAAAUACA